Molecule: long non-coding RNA, 1552 nt
Organism: Neogale vison (American mink)
Lineage: Eukaryota; Metazoa; Chordata; Mammalia; Carnivora; Mustelidae
Source: Ensembl
GACCCUCAAGAGACGAGGACAGAUUCACAGACUGACGUUUUCUGAACUCCACGAUCGGAGGUCGGGGGCGGUAUUCCGGGCAGCCUUGAAUGAAGAGGCGAUCUGGGCCCGGCCGCUGGCAGGUCUGUGCUGUCCAGGGGAGGCGGACAUCCAGGGGAGGCGGACAGGCUGCUGAGGCCAAGGAGCCACCCUCUUGCCCCAAGGACCGGCUCUCAGGCCCUCCCGCUGGACCCGCCCUCUGCGUUUGAUCUCACACCCCAGCCUGGGAGCACGAGGUUUUUCUUGGGCCUUGAAGUUUCCAGGCAUCCUGUCCCCUCCCCCGGGCACACGCCCAGCAUCACCCUGAGUUCUGACCACGCCCAGGGCGCCCAGAGUGCAUGGCCUCAUCCUCAUGACUGCCCCGAAGCAGUGCCCAGAUUCUCGUCCCCAUCUCUCAGAUAAGGAGACAGAGGCUCAAGGAGCUGAAUGGGGUAUCAGCUCGACCAACAGCUCAUCCUUAUCCCCGCAGCCUGGAAACAGCAGUGUCCGGGUUGCUCUGGGUUGCUCUCCGGAGGCCAGAGCUCCAAGCCUCGGGCCGGUCUGGCUCGUCUCGGCCGCGUUCAGAUGUCAGUCUGUGCAGCCACCUCUUUGGGGUCAAGUUCUUUAACAUCCGAUCCCGCGAGCCGUGGAGACUAGUGAACGGCUGGAAUCCAGGUCGCCGGACCCAGGAGUGGCUGGGGGCCACGGCCAGCCCAAAGAAGGAGGGCGAGAGGCAGCCGGGGUGUGAAGGGCAGGAAGGUCCCUUCCUCCUGAGCCCCACUGGCCUUGCCCUUGAGCUUCCCUGCCUUUAGGCAGGGCCUGGAUCAGGGCGGGGAGUCCCACAGCAAGAGGGAGCAGGGCUAUUGGAUCCCUGGGGGGCUCCUGCCCAAGUCCUCCUUCAUUUCCUGGAUUCCAGGAAGGCUCCGGGGUGGGGGGUGGGGGCAGUAGGCAAGCCCCGAACAGGGGUGUGCCCAUCCUGCGGCCCGGCCAGCCCUUCCGGUGCCGUGGCCAGCCCUACGCACGGCCAGCCAGAGCCUCUGGGAGCCUCUGGGAGCUGCAGCCCUGGGCCAGAGGCCAGGAAGGCCCGAAGCCUAGAAGAACAGAGAGGAGAUAAGGCCCAGGUCUGGCUGGGGAAGAACCUUGACUCUGAUGUGGGAAACAAAGGCAGAAAAAAAAUCAGGACAUUUCCUUACCACCUACAGCUCAUUGACAAGUCCUUGAAACAGGCAGAGUGACAUUCCUCCAGGAACUCAGCUGCCUUGAAGCAGAUACUUUCUAAGGACAAAAGGGAACAUUAGCCCAACCCCCAGGACCCUGUUAAGUCUGCUUGAACGUGUAACAAUUCCUUUAGAAACUUCCUUUAUCUCUACCCACCCCCGGACAAGAUACAAGUUGGCCAUCACCCCCAAGCAUAUGACCCACUGAUACACAUCUGAAGGGCCUCAGGACUGAGUUAUUAUUAAACAGUAAUACAUGACCUUUUCUUGGGGCGCCUGGGUGGCUCAGUGGGUUAAGCCGCUGCCUUCGGCUCAGG